GAUGAAGAACGCAGCGAAAUGCGAUAAGUAGUGUGAAUUGCAGAAUUCCGUGAAUCAUCGAAUCUUUGAACGCACAUUGCGCCUCCUGGUUUUCCGGGAGGCAUGCCUGUUCGAGCGUCAUUAAAAUCACUCAAGCUUAGGUUUACCUAUUGCUUGGUCUUGGAGAUGGAAGCCAAUUUAUUGGAAUCCUCUUCGAAAUUCAAUGGCGAAGACCCUUGCUCUCCCAAGUGUAGUAAUAACUUAUGUCACUGAAGGAAGCGAGAAAUCUUCUGCCGUAACCCCCAUAUUUUCUAUGAUUGACCUCGGAUCAGGUAGGGAUACCCGCUGAACUUAAGCAUAUCAAUAAGCGGAGGA
This 354-nucleotide unclassified non-coding RNA is filed under the name soil metagenome. Its description in RNAcentral is "partial contains 5.8S ribosomal RNA, internal transcribed spacer 2, and large subunit ribosomal RNA". The stretch from base 1 to 120 matches the Rfam family "5.8S ribosomal RNA", at positions 35 to 154 of the family's 154-position model. The record is from RNAcentral.